CGCGGUAUUCUGACCGUGCAAAGGUAGCAUAAUAAUUAGUUUUUUUAUUGAAAGCUGGAAUGAAUGAUUGGACGAGAAAACAACUGUCUCUUAUAAAUUUUUGUUUAAUUUAACUUUUAAGUAAAAAGGCUUAAAUUUUUAUUAAAGACGAGAAGACCCUAUAGAGUUUAAUAUUUAUUUAAUAAUAAUUUAUUUGGAAUUUUUUGAUUUUUUAUUUUUUAAUUAUUUAGUUGGGGUGACUAAAAGAUUUAUAAAACUCUUUUAAUUUUGUUGUCAUUGAUUUAUGAAUUUAUUAUCUAGAUUUUUUAAAUUUAAUAUAAAUUACCUUAGGGAUAACAGCGUAAUUUCUUUUUAGAGUUCUUAUUGAUAAGGAAGUUUGCGACCUCNAUGUUGAUUUAAAUUGCCGCGGUAU
Molecule: ribosomal RNA, 412 nt
Filed under: Agriotes mancus
Lineage: Eukaryota; Metazoa; Arthropoda; Insecta; Coleoptera; Elateridae
Description: partial 16S ribosomal RNA
Source: RNAcentral